Long non-coding RNA from Macrobrachium nipponense, 500 nucleotides. RefSeq lists it as uncharacterized. NCBI's taxonomy places the organism in Eukaryota, Metazoa, Arthropoda, Malacostraca, Decapoda, Palaemonidae. The transcript has 3 exons. The record is from RefSeq and is a predicted model, not a curated record.
GUUUUGUGGUAAAGCAGUAAAAAUUCCUGCGGGUGUUGGACGUUGUUUUCCUAUUUCAAUGGCGCUUAUCGACGGACACUGGCGGCGUCGUUGAUAAGGUUCCAGGAUCCUAUAAAUGGAAGGUUUCAACUUCAUUUUGGUCAAAGUAAUAAUUCUGCAAACUUCACUUCGCCGGACUAUAUCCGUAACUAUAACUUUCUGAAAGGUUUUGCUGGGAUGAAGAGCAAGAAUAGUCUUAACAUCAAACAGCGUUCAGAGCAGCAUGACAGACAACAGUUGAUUGAUAUAACCAAAGAUAUUGAACGGAUUAGCUAGUAUUUAUCGUCAGUAGUGGACGCAGUAAGUCAAUUAAUAUGGAGUGGUGGUAGUUAUCGUCAGUAGUGGACCCUGAAAGUCCAUUAAUAAUGGUGGUAGUUAAAGCUACCCAUAAGUUUUAUACCUAGAGAAACUGACCGGGUUUGUUAAUUAAUAAAGGCUUAUAAAGAUUUGUCUAUGCUAAA